Non-coding RNA from Elaeis guineensis (African oil palm), 8551 nucleotides. The record is from RefSeq and is a predicted model, not a curated record. Lineage: Eukaryota; Viridiplantae; Streptophyta; Magnoliopsida; Arecales; Arecaceae.
AAGUAUAUGUGUAUAUACCAAAUCAAGAACUCAUUGCACGUAAAAAAACGAAAAAGAAAAGAAAAAAAAAGAAUAUAUAUAAAUGGGAAAAAAUUUCAUCGAGCCCGCAACCUCGAUGCCUCUUCUCACUUUGUCAUCAGAUUCAGGCCAUCCGAAGGAACCGACGGAGAUAGCGCGGUCCAUCGUCUCACCGUCACGGCCAUCCAUUCUACCCGCCGAGACGGCGACCGGUGCUUCUUGGUUCCUCGCCCUGCCCUCUUUCAGUCCCUGCCUCGUUUCUGCUCCCCUGACCCGCUGCGAGCAGCGCCUGUCACGCCCCACGUGGCGCCCCGCAAUUGGCGGGAGAGCCGGGUCGGGGGCGUGUGCGCUCGCCCACCGCCACUCGGGGCAGGGCAACAAAAUGAUAUUCCUUAUUGUCCUCGAUUGGUGACCCCCAACCCUCUUUUUCGAAGCCCCCCUUCCCUUUCUUUCUUUGCUUCUUUCUUGCUUGCUACCAAGAAGAGAGAGAUAGAGAGGGAGGAAAAAUAAAGGAGAUAAGAGAUCUCAGUUCCAGCUUCCAACCUAAUCUAAUGCCUAUUUAAUUGUGUCCAGAGUGGAAGGGGGGAUGGGGGAUCGAAUAUAAAUGCCGUGGGUGCACCUGGAAUUUUCUUUUCCCCCUUUUCUAACAGAUGCGAGGGCUACGGCUGCGGCCGAGUUAGUCAUGUGAUUAUAUGAUUCUUGUUCUUGUCUUCUUGGGCGCCGGAGUCAAGCAUGCAGGAGUGAGGCUCCAAAGAUGAUGGAUGACAACUCUUUGUGUGAUAACAUGAUAGAUAGGAAUUGGGUAUUGAAGCGCAAGCGGAAACGAGUAUCGAGCGGACUCAAUCUCUCUAAUGGAAAAGAGGCUUCUUCGCUACCUUCAGACUCUCCGAGGAACAUCUCUUCCACUAAGAGGAAGGGGAAAGGCGAUAUUGAUGUUUCUCAAUUGGCUCGUAAGGUCAAAGGGCAUGAUGGGUAUUACUUUGAAUGUGUAGAAUGUGAUCUUGGUGGCAAUUUGCUCUGCUGCGAUAGCUGUCCUCGAACCUAUCAUCUUGAAUGUCUCAAUCCACCUCUCAAGCGUGCACCACCUGGGAAGUGGCAGUGCCCAAAAUGUUGUGAGCAAAGGGAUAAUAUGAAAAUGUUAGUAAAUGCGGAAUCCAAUCCAAGACGAGCAAGGACUAAGAGUAUAUUUGAAAAAUCUAAAACUGUACAUAAAUUACCCGGCCAUGACAAAACAUCACUUUCUGGGAGAAACUCCAGUCCUGGAAAGAAUAAAUUAAAUAACAAGAGGAAAGCUACUUUACCUCAGAGGGCUCCAUCUGUUGAAAAGAAGACGGAAUCUUCUCGUAUUGAUACAUCUUACAGCACCAAGUCAAGCCAGUCAUGUGAUGCUGAAUCCAGAGAUGGCAUUUCAACAGCUGCAGAUAAUAAAACUGAGAAGAAACCAGUCUCACCAGUUCGUUGGAAAAGAAGUACUCAUAAAGAUGCCCAUUCUCUUGUUAAAACUUUGAGCUCAGAUCGUAGUCAAAAAUCUCUGGAAAAGAAGUCCGACCCAUGUAAAGGAGAAGUGCAAAGAAAGAAACUUAUUCUUCCAUUAGUUCCACCCCCUCAGGAAGCCAGAAAAAAGAAGCAAAAGGCUAACAGGGCAGACAAGAAGAAGAGGUCAAAAACUGAAAAAGGAAAACAUAUUGCUACAGCUGCUUGUGAUGAUGCAUCAAGGGAAACUCCUCCAUGUCUAGAAAUCAGUGAAUCAUUUCAUAAGCACAACUCAUUUGAUCAGCAGAAUUCUGUGUCUAACACAAAGGAAGAACCUAAAAUGGCAAAACGUGCUAGUCAAAAACAGGCAUCCUUUGAGGGGGUUUCCCCCUCAUCACAAGGAUUAGAUGAACAAGGAGUGAAUGUAGAUAAGACAAUAAAACAUCAUGAGAAUCUUUGGAGUGGAGUACAAGAGGUUGAUCGAAUUUUGGGGUGUCGGGUGCAAACCAGCACUGUGUUGUCUUCAUUUCAUGCUCAAACAAUCAAAUCUGCUACUUCUUCAGAAGAAGCUGAGUCAGAAAAUAAUUCAGGAGGGCAAGUGAGUGGAGUGCCAUAUAGUUGUAAUGUUUCAGAAAAUCAUGACAAACAGCUAAAAGACUCUUCUGAUGAUGGUAAAGAUUCAGAUAAGCAGGAUGGUGAAAGAAUACUUAAGGAGGGAUGCCACAGAGAAGCAAAUCGGGUUGGUGAAAGAAAAGAUAUUCAUGAAGACUAUAAUGGCAAAAGACAUAGAACUCAUGAAUGUCCGAAUAAAGCAAAAGCUACGGCAUCAGUCAUAGAAUCUUCUGGGGAUCACUGCAUCACUGAGAAAAUUUGUGAAGUCAUAGAGGACUCUUUGGUAAAUGCCAUAGAUAUUGGUGAAGACACUGUUCAGAAAGUCUCUGUAGAAAGCAAAAAUGUGGAACUUGUGAGUCCAAUCAAAAAUGGCAAAUCUCAUGCACCAAGGCCUUCUUGCCUAGAAGUCUCUUAUGAUUCAGAAUGCAUUGAUGUUGCAAGCAUGGUGAUUCAACCAGAUAAAAGUGCUGAAAAUAGGACAUCUUCCAAGGUCAUGCAGGAUUCAGGGCCUAACAACAAAAGUAGUAUUAUGUAUGAAUUUUUUGUUAAAUGGGUAGGGAAAUCCAACAUCCAUAACAGUUGGGUUUCUGAAUCCCAGUUAAAAGUUUUAGCUAAAAGAAAGUUGGAGAAUUAUAAGGCAAAAUAUGGAACUGCUGUGAUAAAUAUUUGCAAGGAACAGUGGUGUGAGCCACAGCGUGUUAUUGCUCUCCGUGCUUCUAAGGAUGGUACUGAAGCCCUCAUUAAAUGGCGUGAUCUUCCUUAUGAUGAAUGUACUUGGGAAAGAUUAGAUGAAUCUGUCAUUGAAAAGUCUGUUCAUCUGAUUGCUGAAUUCAAACAGAUCGAGUCUCAAACUUUGGGUAAGGAUGUCGGGGAUGAUUUUCCGAGUAAAGGUGAUCCUCAGGAAGUUGUUUCUUUGGUGGAGCAGCCAAAGGAGCUUCAAGGAGGUUCACUUUUUCCACAUCAGUUAGAAGCUUUAAACUGGCUACGCAAAUGCUGGCAUAAGUCUAAGAACGUGAUACUUGCUGACGAGAUGGGGCUGGGGAAAACUGUAUCUGCUUGUGCUUUCAUCUCGUCGUUGUAUUUUGAGUUUAAGGUGAAAUUGCCGUGUCUGGUCUUAGUUCCUCUAUCCACAAUGCCUAAUUGGUUGGCUGAGUUUGCACUGUGGGCCCCUCAUUUGAAUGUUGUGGAGUAUCAUGGUUGUGCAAAGGCAAGAUCCAUUAUUCGUCAAUAUGAAUGGCAUGCCAGUGACCCAACUGGAUCACGUAAGACAACGGAAUCAUAUAAAUUCAAUGUUUUAUUGACUACUUAUGAGAUGGUCCUUGCUGACUAUUCUCAUCUGCGUGGAGUCCCCUGGGAAGUACUUAUAGUUGAUGAGGGGCAUCGACUGAAAAAUUCUGGAAGUAAACUUUUUAGUUUGCUGAACACAUUUUCUUUUCAGCACCGUGUGUUAUUGACUGGAACCCCUUUGCAGAACAACAUAGGUGAGAUGUAUAACUUACUAAAUUUUUUGCAACCUGCAUCAUUCCCCUCUUUAUCAGCAUUUGAAGAGAAGUUUAAUGAUCUUACAACCGCAGAAAAGGUAGAGGAGUUGAAAAAACUUGUCUCCCCACAUAUGCUUCGAAGGCUGAAAAAAGAUGCAAUGCAAAAUAUCCCCCCUAAGACUGAGCGCAUGGUUCCUGUUGAGUUAACAUCCAUACAGGCUGAAUAUUACCGUGCCAUACUUACGAGGAACUAUCAGAUAUUACGUAACAUUAGAAAAGGUGGUGCUCUGCAGUCAAUGCUAAAUAUUGUCAUGCAGCUCCGGAAGGUUUGCAAUCAUCCAUAUCUCAUUCCAGGAACUGAACCUGAAUCUGGUUCAGUGGAGUUCCUCCAUGAAAUGCGCAUAAAGGCAUCAGCCAAGCUAACAUUACUGCACUCUAUGCUCAAGAUUUUACGUAAGGAUGGGCACCGUGUCCUCAUAUUUUCUCAGAUGACAAAACUUCUUGAUAUACUUGAGGAUUACAUGACUAUAGAAUUUGGUCCUAAGACAUUUGAAAGAGUGGAUGGUUCAGUGUCGGUGGUUGAUCGUCAAGCAGCAAUUGCUCGUUUUAAUCAAGACAAAACUCGAUUUGUGUUCUUAUUAUCCACACGCUCUUGUGGCCUUGGAAUAAAUUUGGCAACAGCAGAUACUGUUAUUAUAUAUGAUUCAGAUUUCAAUCCACAUGCUGAUAUACAAGCAAUGAAUAGAGCACAUAGAAUUGGGCAAUCAAAAAGGCUUCUGGUGUACAGGCUCAUGGUACGUGCUAGUGUCGAGGAGCGCAUCUUGCAGCUUGCUAAGAAGAAAUUGAUGCUUGACCAACUAUUUGUGAACAAGUCAGAAUCUCAAAAGGAAGUGGAGGACAUUCUUAGAUGGGGAACAGAAGAACUUUUCAGUGACCGUGAUACUGUAAAUGGACAAGAUCCAAAAGAAGCUUCAAGCAGCAAAACUGAUUCUGUUGCUGAUGGUGAGCAUAAGCAUAGAAAGAGGGCUGGUGGGCUGGGAGAUGUAUACCAGGAUAAAUGCACUGAUGGAUGCACAAAGAUCAUGUGGGAUGAAAAUUCAAUUUUAAAGCUUCUUGAUCGGUCAAACCUUCAGUCAGCAGUCUCUGAAAGUGCUGAUGGGGAGUUAGAGAAUGAUAUGCUUGGUGCAGUAAAGUCAGUGGAUUGGAAUGAUGAACUAAAUGAGGAACAAAGGGGGGCUGAUAUGCUCCCUAGUGUUGCUGGUGAUGGUUGUGAGCAGGCAUCUGAAGCAAAAGAAGAUAAUGCAAUCAGUGGUACUGAGGAAAACGAAUGGGAUAGACUGUUACGUGUCAGGUGGGAAAAAUAUCAGAUCGAGGAAGAAGCAGCUCUUGGUCGAGGGAAGCGCUUGAGAAAAGCAAUAUCUUACAAGGAAACAUUUGCUUCAAUACCAAGUGAAGGCUUAAGUGAGAGUGGUAAUGAAGAGGAGGAACCAGAGCCAGAAUAUACAUCUGCUGGCCGGGCAUUGAAAGAAAAAUUUGCUAGGCUCCGUGCUAGACAGAAGGAACGGAUUGCCCGGAGGCACAUCACAGAGUUUCCUGCUUCUGUUGAUGAACCUGAGUUACUGACACAACCACUUGUUCCUUCUGCCACAGAAGGUGAAGACCUGAAUAUCAGCAAACCUCUGGAAAACACAGGAGAACAGGCUUCUUUCAUCAAUCUGGAGGACACCAAAUUAUCUCAACCAUUUGAAACUAGGAACUGGAGUGAGUCUACUGCAAGACUGGGAAAGUUCUUGAAGCAUGGGUACAAACAAUUCCAUGGGACUCAUUUGGAUCUUUCUGUUGGACCACCUGGAAAUUUUUCUCCUGAUAGCUCUUUACCUAACCAUCAGUACUCUGGCAACCUUCUACCUGUUUUGGGACUAUGUGCUCCUAAUGCUAAUCAGGUAAACUCAACAUCCCGAAAUAUUCGAUCUCUACUGAGCCUAUCAACAUCAAAUCAUCAACAGAGAAGAAUGAGUAGUAGAUUGUCAGAAUUUCCAUUGGCACUUGCUGCCAACACUCGACCUCUAAAAGACACAAAUAUUCAAGGUAGAGAAACAACUGCAGAUACAUCUCUAUUGCCAGAGACAUCUCUAUUGCCUGAUACAUCUGGAGAAGCUUUGCAUCACCAUUUAAAGAAUAUCAUUCCCGACAGCUAUUUUCCCUUUUGUCCUCCUCCUCCUACAUCCUCUGGAAAGGGCUCCCAUGGUCUGCUAGAUGGUUUGGGUUCUUCUUUUGCCUCAUUUCAAGAGAAAUUGGGUCUUCCUAGCUUAAUUCUUGAUGAUAAGACACUGCCAAGGUUCUCAUAUCCAUCUAGAACUUUGAUGAAGCCACAUGCAGAUUUCUCGCCAAGCUUGUCAGUGGGCACAAAUUUAGAUUAUGUUAAUGGUUUCAUUCGGGAUUUGUCAAAUAUUCCCCAAGUUUCAGACUUUAGGCAACAGAUGAGUGAUAUGAAGCAAAAAAAACUGAUGGCAGAGCUACCUCCAAUGCUUGGACUGGGUCCAAUGCAAGCUGCACAUUCAUCAUUACCUGAAAACCAUAGGAAGGUUCUUGACAACAUAAUGAUGCGAACUCAAUCGGCAAGUAGUAAAUUCCUCAAGAAAAAAUUAAAGGCAGAUGCAUGGUCAGAAGAUGAACUUGAUGCUCUCUGGAUUGGUGUUCGUAGGCAUGGAAGGGGAAAUUGGGAUGCAAUGCUCAGAGAUCCCAAGUUGAAGUUCUCAAAGCAUAGAACUGCUGAAGACUUGUCCGCAAGAUGGAUUGAGGAGCAGUGCAAGAUAAUGGAUGGGCCAGCUUUUGCAGCUCCAGAAUCUCCCAGGCCUACAUCAUUUCCUGGAAUCUCUGAUGGAAUGAUGACUCGGGCAUUGCUUGGAAGUAAAUUUGCUAGUCUUGGAACUGAACCACCUAAGUUUCACUCUCACCCAGAUAUUCAGUCAGGCUGUGCGGAUCUUACAUCUGGAUUUUCAUGUACUGAGCCAGCCAAUUAUAUUGGUGCAGUGAAUGAGAACUACCCACUAGUCACAGCAUGGAAAUCUGACAAAAUGGGAACAAGUUAUGCAGGAGAUUUUUCUGCCCGACCAUUUGAUAGAAUGGAGAAAAUUAAUAUACCUUUGAAUUAUUCAUUUCAACAUAAUUCAUUGGCAGGUCAUAGUUUUGGCUCUCUAGGCGUGAACUGUCCUAGCAGCUGUGCUUUGCAGAAGAAGGAAGAUGGAUUUUGUGCCCCCAAUAAUCUUCACUUCUGUAGCAUUUCAGACAAAUCACUGAACUUGUUGCAUGAUUCCCAUAAUAAUGUUCAUUCUGGUAAAUCCAACAUGGGAAUGCCUCUCAAUGUCCAAAAGAAGUCAGUUUCUGCUAAUCCUCCUCCCAACAACGAUAAUGCUGUUGGGAGUUCAAAUACAAACAAUCUCCCUCAUUGGCUUCGAGAAGCAGUCAGCAUUCCACCAUCCAGGCCACCAGAACCUGAUUUGCCCCCAGCUGUUUCAGCAAUUGCUCAAUCAGUUCGCCUGCUUUAUGGAGAAGAAAAACUAACAAUCCCUCCAUUCACAAUUCCAGGUCCGCUCCCUUUCCAGCCCAAGGAUCCAAGGAAAAGUCUGAAAAAGAAGAGGAAGUUGCAUAGGCUACGUCAAGUGACCCCUGAUAUUGCCGAUGCCAAAAAUUUUGAUCACACUGCUUUGGGCACCAUUCCUCCUGGACCACAUUUAAUGGCAUGUGCACCCAGUCUCCCUCCGACUGAUGUCGAUGAAAGCAUCCCAGCUCUGAAUUUGAAUCUAAAUUCACCAUCCUUGACAUCAUUUUUGACACAAGGAAAUAAGCAAGGCACGACAAUGUCACCAUCUCCUGAAGUGCUCCAAUUGGUAGCAUCUUGUGUGGCUCCUGGUCCUUGCACAUCCCCAGCAACUGACAUGCCUGGCACUAGCUGCAAAAAAACUGAUUUGCCCGUAUCAAAAGAUCUUGAAAAUUUUGAACAAGAUGGAAAGAGUCUGAUUGGAGAUUUCAAGGGCAUUCGUGGAAAGCGAAAGGCAAGUAGGAACUCACUUUUAGGUUGUUGGGGGAAACUAACAGAUAAGCAGGUUGAUCGUGCGGAGAGUGGAGACUCAAGUAAAACUCGAUUAGAUCCAGAUCGAACAGACAAGCUCAACAUUGAGGAAAUGUCAUCAGAAGAAACUGUAUCAGAUGACAAUGGAAGUGAACAUGAAUCAUAAACCUUCUCAUAUUUUUGGUCCUUGUCUUUUCCCUUAUGCUGGCAAAGUUUGGUCUGUGGAUGUCCCACUUUCAUAUACGUGGUUCAGAGAGUGUCAUGCGAGAGCAAACGAAACAAGACAUCUUCUCUCAAAGCAUCUAUAUAAGAAAUAUAAUCUUUCCAAUUCAGUAUUGUUGUCUCGAAAUCUUGAUAUCUACCAUACAUUAUAAGUUGACUAGGAUUCUUGAAAGUGGCGGUUUCCAGGCGUCGUGCCCUUUUAGUUAACAAAGGCUUCUACUCCUGGAGUACUAUUGCAAGAGACUGCCAUAUAUUGUGUCUGCUUUGCAUCUUAUUCCUUUAUUUUAAUAUUUUAAUAUGAAUUUCCUCGCGUGAUGCAGGUCAGGUUUUGUAUCAUGCAUGAUGUCUCUUCACAAAUUUUAGCUGCCACUGGUUUUCAAGAAUAUUGUGCUCUCUCCCUUAGUCUUCCCUCAAACUACCAUUGUUGUGGGCUAUCUUGCAGCCCCAGGACAAACGGGAACAUCUUUGGAGAAGCCGUGCAUAUUUUUUGCCUUAGCAUCUUGAAUAUUCUGUUUAGCAUGCACACACGCAUUCUCUCCCAGUAGAAAUCUUUUGUAUGGUUUGGUGCAUUUUUAACCAAGCCAUCAAGCUUGCCAUAAUUCAAUAAAUGUUUCAAAGCGACUCAUUUGCAGUAAUACUUCCAUUUAACAAUAGAUGGAGUUUUGAGUGGUGC